Molecule: transfer RNA, 73 nt
Filed under: compost metagenome
Description: tRNA-Glu
Rfam family: tRNA
About the family: Transfer RNA (tRNA) molecules are approximately 80 nucleotides in length. Their secondary structure includes four short double-helical elements and three loops (D, anti-codon, and T loops).
Source: RNAcentral
UGUCGCGGUCGUCUUCCGGGAGGACGUCCGACUCUCGAUCGGAACAGUGGGGUUCGACUCCCCACCGCGACGG